CCCCACACACACACCCCACCCCACACACACUUUCAGAGAAUCAAAGACUCACAAGCUUUUCUCCAGUGAUCCAUCAAACAUCCGGCAAUUCGGGAUGUUGGGUCGAAUAUUGAAGCAUCGAUUAGGGAUGUUGGGUCUGUCAAUUCGGAUAAUGAUUUGCCACCCAUUGUGUUGGGAUCUUUGGAUUUGGUAAAGGGAGGUUAGGUGGGUUGUCUUAUUUUGCUGGGGCUGAGAAGAAAGAUGAGAAGGUUCUUGUGCCUGAUUUGGGUUCAUUAACCAGUAUUAUUUAUGACAGGGCUAGAGAAUUGUUCUAUUACUUGAAAGGUGGACAGGUGGAUUACGGUGAAGAACAUAGUAAGGCUUGUGGGCAUUCUCAAUUUGGAAGGAUAUAUGAAGAAGGGCACUACCCUCAAUGGGAUGAAGAUCAUCCUAUUCACUUUGUUGGGCAUUCGGCCGGAGCUCAGGUGAUACGGGUUUUGCAGCAAAUGUUGGCUGAUAAGGCGUUCAAGGGAUAUGAAAACAUGUCUGAAAACUGUUCUCAAAAACAACUUCUCCACACACAAAAAUAACUUAUAUAAGUUAAUCCAAACACUCUAAAAACAACUUAUUA
This is a long non-coding RNA of Helianthus annuus (common sunflower), 610 nucleotides long. RefSeq lists it as uncharacterized. The record is from RefSeq and is a predicted model, not a curated record. The transcript is spliced from 5 exons. Lineage: Eukaryota; Viridiplantae; Streptophyta; Magnoliopsida; Asterales; Asteraceae.